CUAACAUCCUACUAAGGGCCGGCC
This 24-nucleotide non-coding RNA is filed under the name Arabidopsis thaliana (thale cress). The record is from RNAcentral. Lineage: Eukaryota; Viridiplantae; Streptophyta; Magnoliopsida; Brassicales; Brassicaceae.